This 469-nucleotide ribosomal RNA is filed under the name uncultured bacterium. RNAcentral describes it as "partial 16S ribosomal RNA". It matches the Rfam family "Bacterial small subunit ribosomal RNA", at positions 28 to 507 of the family's 1533-position model. The record is from RNAcentral.
GACGAACGCUGGCGGCGUGCUUAACACAUGCAAGUCGAACGGAAAGGCCCUGCUUGCAGGGUGCUCGAGUGGCGAACGGGUGAGUAACACGUGGGUGAUCUGCCCCUUACUUUGGGAUAAGCCUGGGAAACUGGGUCUAAUACUGGAUAGGACCAUGCUGUAGGUGGUGUGGUGGAAAGAUUAGUUUCGGUUAGGGAUGAGCUCGCGGCCUAUCAGCUUGUUGGUGGGGUAAUGGCCUAGCAAGGCGUCGACGGGUAGCCGGCCUGAGAGGGUGGACGGCCACAUUGGGACUGAGAUACGGCCCAGACUCCUACGGGAGGCAGCAGUGGGGAAUAGUGCACAAUGGGCGCAAGCCGGAUGCAGCGACGCCGCGUGGGGGAUGACGGCCUUCGGGUUGUAAACUCCUUUCAGCCAUGACGAAGCCCUUGUGGUGACGGUAGUGGUAGAAGAAGCACCGGCUAACUACGUG